Molecule: long non-coding RNA, 4364 nt
Filed under: Sus scrofa (pig)
Lineage: Eukaryota; Metazoa; Chordata; Mammalia; Artiodactyla; Suidae
Description: lncRNA (ENSSSCG00000059169.1)
Source: RNAcentral
CCUAGCUGAGAAGACGUGGUCCCAGAGUUCAGAAUCCAGGGGAGGUUACACGUGUGCUGGGCAUCCCUACAACACGUGGUGUUGACAGGAAUUCCUGGAGACUAGUGUGCGAUAAUGCUUUAAUCACACCCCCACCCCCACCCCCACCCCCCGAAGCUUUUUGGCUCAUAUGCUCAGAAUUCUCUGGAGCAUCUGCUUUCCUUCUGCAUCUAAUACAGGAGAUGGAUGGGGUGGGGCGGGAGGGAGCAGGGACUGUGCUACAAGAAUGUGGAAGGAUACACAUACCUGACAAGAGAGAGAAAGGCCGUCUGUCUUCCUUAGGGAACUUGGGUCUGGUAUUGGACAUGUUCCAUUUGCUCUGCCGGAGGGUCUGAGAUUCCAGCAAGUCUCUAUCCCUCUGCGUGGUUUGGGGUCCUUGCUAGGUGGCUUUGGGGGGGAACCCAUAUCUUGUUUACCUUUAUGAUUUGUGAGAGACUGGAGCUGGGCUUUCUUGGGCUGGAAGAGACCACAGGAGCUCCCCGGCCUGAAGACCCUACCCACUGGCCUGUAGCCUCAGGAACGGACAGAGUCAGUUGUUGGAGGUUUUCCAGGCCCUUGAUCAUGCUCUGCAAGGAGCAUUGAUUCUACUCUAAUCUCCGGCACACGUUGUUCUGCGACCUUUGCAAAGCAUCUCUCUGUGUGUUUAUAUCCUCAUGGGUGAACUGGUUUCCGGAUCUGAAGAGCCAGAGUGCCCUGCAGAUUUACUUCGGAACAUUGUUUAAGUGCGAUGUCAAUAAGAACAUCGAGCUUUCUCGGGAGAGAGCCCUUUGAAGGAGAAUAAUUGAUGGAUGGAACUCCAUGACCUCUCUGCAAAACUGAAAUAGGAAUAGAAAAGGCCAUUGCCCAAUUCUGGGAAUGUGGCCGAGGGUGGCAGUGAACCCCCUUGUCCCCGCUAGGUUACUGCAGACUGUGGAAGACCAUGUGGUCUGAACCAGCUCCACACAGUGGGUUCUCUCUCCUGGAAGACGUGAUGUAGUGUUUUAGAGAAUAACCCUUUUAGUUUGUUGGUGCUGAUAUAGCCAAGUACCACAGGCUGGCUGGUGUCAACACAGAUGUUCUGGUCACACAGUUCACAAGGCAGGAGGUCUGAGGUCACGACCUGAAAGGGGCUGGUUCCAUCUCAGGACAUGAGGAAGAAUUUGCCCCGUGCUUCUCUCCUAGCUUCUGGGGGGCUGGCGGGCCCUGGCUUGUAGAGGCAGCGCCCUGAUUUCUGCCUUUAUCAUGACAUGAGGUGCACGGGUCUGUGUCCCCAGGUUCCCUUUAUGAGAACACCCAUCUUGUUGGACCUCAUGACCUCAUGACCUCUUUUUAACCUAAUGAUCUCUCCUCUGUAAAGACUCCAUCUCCACAUAAGGUCACACAUGGUCUGAGGUCUUGGGGGUGGUGGCGAGGAAUUCAGCAUGUACAUUUUGGGGUGGAGAAAAGUAAAUCCUUAACAAAUUCUGUGCAAGAGAAGUAUUGAUACGCGUAUCCUCCUGUUAUUCUUAUGUACAUGUAGCAGCUUUGGUUGAGCAACCUGCUUUUGUUUGGGGGGAGAGAUGUGCGCCGAUCUCACUUUUCUGUAAUUGCUGCCCUUUGUGUUCUCUCAAAUGUUUGUUCCCCUCUGGUUCCUGGUUACUUCAGCAGACCCUGCUCUCCUUCUAGAACAUUCCAUUUCCUAAUACAGCCUCAUUUGGUUAUUGGGGUUCUGAGCACUUCUUCCCCCAGGGUUUGUUUCCUGUCAUGUGCUGGCUAUGGCAGAUGCCCUUCACUCCCAAAUGAAACACCUAAAGAACUGACUUCAAAUAAUUCCCAUUUUUUUUUUUCAAGGGCGCUACUGAGAUGGAAUGAAGGCAAGAACUCAUUAGAGAUUUCUUUUUAAAAGAUAGUUUUUUUGGGGGGAUAAUUUUAUUUAAUUUUUAUUUUGGGAUAGUUUUGGAUUUAUAGAAAAGUUGGGGAGAUAACACACAGUUUCAGUUUUCCCUAAGGUUAUCCUCUUACAUGAUGGUGCAUUUGUCAAAACUGAGUUAAUAAGGUUGGUACGUUACUAUUAGCUAAACUCUGGGCUUUACACAGAGUUCACCAGUUUUUCCCAUUCCAGAAUCCAGCCCAGGAACCACAGAGCAUUCGGGUGUCACAACCCAUUUGUUUCCUCUGAUCUGGAACGUUUCUCUGUCCGGUUUUGUCUUUCCUGGUCUUGACCGUUGUAAAGAGUCCUGGCCAGCCAUUUUGUAGAAUGCCCUUCAGCUUGCAUUUGUCUGAUGAUCUCCCUCAGGUUAUAAAGUUUUAAUGAAAGUAAAAGAAGUGACCCUAGGAAAUAGGCGAGUACCAAAUCUCUCCAGGACUUAACUACCAAACCUUGACAACCUGAGCUCUUGAGGCUUUCACGGCCUCGCAGGGUGUGUGGGGCAGGACAUAAAACCUAGGGCUUAGUCAAGGUGAGGAAUAUCAUAGAAAAACACUGUCAACCCCCCCUGCCUUCCCCCUCCCUGACAAGCUGGGAGCCUGUUAGAUUAAUGAGGAAUAAACUGCUAGAUUAAUGAAAGAUAAACGCCACCACACAGAAACAGGCAGCUAGAAACCUUCUGUCACAACCCUCGGGGCUGGGGGGGUAAGACCCAGCUCCUGGGAUCCCCCAAGAACCUGAACUAUAAGCCAACCCUCAUGUGAGUUUUCAGUCUGAACUCACACUGUAUUCGUGGGCUGAAAAAAAAAAUGUAAUGUGAAGAAAUCCUGUGUUAGAAUCACCACGAGGUAUAUUUCCUAUUAUAUUUAGCAUUUAUAUAGUAUUUGUGAUAUGCAUUAUAGUCUAGCUAUAAAUAGCUAUCUGUUGGAACUUUUAAAAUGAUAAAGCAGACUGAAGAAAUUGAGAAGUUGCGAACCAGAAGACUGACCUAAACCAAUCACUCAGUCUGUAGUCCUGUGAGACAAAGAUUUGGAAAAUGUGAAAGGAAGGUAAAGAGAAAAUAAGAAUAGAACGAGGAUCUCUGCCAGAGUGGUCCAGUAGACUCUUCUGUGUUGAUGGAAAUGUCCUAAAUAGCCACCCAUGGCUAGAGACCGCUGGACAUCACACGUUUGACUUCUGUCUGGUCAAUGUUCCAGAAGGGGAUAAUUAGAAUGAGGAAGAAGCAGUAUCCAAAGAGAUCAUGGCUGGGAACUUUCUAGAAUUAUUGAAAGACGCCAGUAUUUAUUCUAGCAAAUCGCCCAGUCUAAGCAAGAUAAAUACAAAGAAGGAGAUACCAUGACCCACCAAAGGCAAACUGCAAAAUGCCGAGAAGAAGGUUUUUACAACGCUGCCAGUGAGAAAAGCCAGAUUAUCUACAAAGGACUGAUGAUUAGACAUAUAGCCAUUUUUCAUCAGCAUUGGUGGAAAUUGCCAAAGGAUCCGUCUCUUCGCUCUGCUUAGAGAAAACUCGUCAACUUACCAUACUUGGCUGCAAAACUACCUUUUCAGAAUGAGGCUGAAAUAAAGAUAUUUACAGAUAAACUACAUCUAAAGGAGUUUACCGUGGAAAGACUGCUACCCAGGAAAAUUCUGAAAGAUGAUUUUGGGCAGAGGGAAAAUCAUUCAAGGUGGAAGGUCUGAGCUACAAGUAGGAAUGAUGAGCAAAGAUGCAGUUCAAUCCAAAUAAAACUGUUUAAAACUAUAAAAAUAAUGUCUAGUUUGUGUGGAUAUCUAGGCUAGAGAAGCUAAUGUAUUACAGAACAACCACGUGUGAAAUGGGAGAGCCUUGAUCACAGUUAAAGAGAUAUAAGGUCCCUGUCUUAUUUAAAAGAAAAGGUAAACACUAAAGAAUAAACCAAAACCUUUAGAUCUCAAACAGCUAGAGACUCAGAUUGGAAUAGAAAAGGAAAUAAAUAAUACACCAGCCAAAAGAAGGGAUGCAGAAGAGUUGAUCAGCACAAUUAGCAACCUGAUCAAAUGGACCUACAAAGAGCAUGGCACCCAGCUCUAGGAGAAAAUAACUCAUUUUUCAAAAAACAAAAUAGUAAUGCAAAUCGCUCAAGUAGCUGGGCCAUAAAACUGGACUUCAAAAGAUUGUAUUCACCCAUAUUGUGGUCUCGAACCACUAGUAAAUUAAUUUAGAAAUAAUAUGUUAAGGAGUUCCCAUCGUGGCUCGGCAGAAACGAACCCGACUAGUGUCCAUGAGGAUGCGGGUUUGAAAUCUGGCCUCACUCAGUGGGUUAAGGAUCCAGCGUUACCUUAAGCUGUGGUAUAGGUCAUUAGGUGUGGCUGGGAUCCCAUGUUGCUGUGGCUGUGUUGUAGGCCAGCAGCCGCAGCUCUGAUUCUACCCCUAGCCUGGGAACCCUAUGCUGUGCCUGUAACCUUAAAAAGAGAAAAGAAA